RNAcentral lists this ribosomal RNA (1343 nucleotides) under uncultured bacterium. RNAcentral describes it as "16S ribosomal RNA". It matches the Rfam family "Bacterial small subunit ribosomal RNA", at positions 28 to 1378 of the family's 1533-position model. The record is from RNAcentral.
GACGAACGCUGGCGGCGUGCUUAACACAUGCAAGUCGAACGGAAAGGCCCUGCUUUUGUGGGGUGCUCGAGUGGCGAACGGGUGAGUAACACGUGAGUAACCUGCCCUUGACUUUGGGAUAACUUCAGGAAACUGGGGCUAAUACCGGAUAGGAGCUCCUGCUGCAUGGUGGGGGUUGGAAAGUUUCGGCGGUUGGGGAUGGACUCGCGGCUUAUCAGCUUGUUGGUGGGGUAGUGGCUUACCAAGGCUUUGACGGGUAGCCGGCCUGAGAGGGUGACCGGCCACAUUGGGACUGAGAUACGGCCCAGACUCCUACGGGAGGCAGCAGUGGGGAAUAUUGCACAAUGGGCGGAAGCCUGAUGCAGCAACGCCGCGUGCGGGAUGACGGCCUUCGGGUUGUAAACCGCUUUCGCCUGUGACGAAGCGUGAGUGACGGUAAUGGGUAAAGAAGCACCGGCUAACUACGUGCCAGCAGCCGCGGUGAUACGUAGGGUGCGAGCGUUGUCCGGAUUUAUUGGGCGUAAAGGGCUCGUAGGUGGUUGAUCGCGUCGGAAGUGUAAUCUUGGGGCUUAACCCUGAGCGUGCUUUCGAUACGGGUUGACUUGAGGAAGGUAGGGGAGAAUGGAAUUCCUGGUGGAGCGGUGGAAUGCGCAGAUAUCAGGAGGAACACCAGUGGCGAAGGCGGUUCUCUGGGCCUUUCCUGACGCUGAGGAGCGAAAGCGUGGGGAGCGAACAGGCUUAGAUACCCUGGUAGUCCACGCUGUAAACGGUGGGUACUAGGUGUGGGGUCCAUUCCACGGGUUCCGUGCCGUAGCUAACGCUUUAAGUACCCCGCCUGGGGAGUACGGCCGCAAGGCUAAAACUCAAAGGAAUUGACGGGGCCCCGCACAAGCGGCGGAGCAUGCGGAUUAAUUCGAUGCAACGCGUAGAACCUUACCUGGGUUUGACAUGGAUCGGGAGCGCUCAGAGAUGGGUGUGCCUCUUUUGGGGUCGGUUCACAGGUGGUGCAUGGCUGUCGUCAGCUCGUGUCGUGAGAUGUUGGGUUGAGUCCCGCAACGAGCGCAACCCUUGUUCACUGUUGCCAGCACGUUAUGGUGGGGACUCAGUGGAGACCGCCGGGGUCAACUCGGAGGAAGGUGGGGAUGACGUCAAGUCAUCAUGCCCCUUAUGUCCAGGGCUUCACGCAUGCUACAAUGGCUGGUACAGAGAGUGGCGAGCCUGUGAGGGUGAGCGAAUCUCGGAAAGCCGGUCUCAGUUCGGAUUGGGGUCUGCAACUCGACCUCAUGAAGUCGGAGUCGCUAGUAAUCGCAGAUCAGCAACGCUGCGGUGAAUACGUUCCCGGG